AUAAGUGUGUGUGUAUCCAAUUAAUUCAAUAUACGUAUGUGUAUUAGACCAUCUCCAACAGAUUGGUCUUUUGCCACCUGGCCUUCCAACCAAUACUUUUGAAGGUCCAAAUUGUUCUCCAACGGAUAUGCCUUAUCCACGUGGAUUUGACAUUGGCCUCUCCUCUGUCAAAUUUGACAGCGUCUUCUCCUUCUGUCUUUUAUUUUUUUUAUUGUUUCUCAGUGCGUCUCUCUCCUUCAUUCUCGCUUCUUUCUUCCUUCAUCUCACCCAGAACCGAUUUCAGCCUUCGCACUUCCAAAACUCAGCAAAUUCGACCCUAACCCAGAAAAAUGAUAAAAAUCUCUUACAACCCAUUAGUUUUCUCAAGAAUUUGGCUUUAAAGGAGAUUCUUUUCUCACUUGGAAUUCGAGUUGGAGACUUGGAGCAACCGAGCAAGAGAUUUGGAUUAUGGGAGUUCGAUUGGCAGCAAAUGAUUUGAAGAUGAGUUAAAUGCCUCACUAGAUGUGCAUGGUUUUUGCUCAGUUCGAUUGACGUUUAGCGGUUUUUGCUGGGAUCUCGAGUUUGUAUCAGUUUGUUGCUAUAUAUCAGUUUGUUGCUGGGAAGACGAGUUUGUAUCAGUUUGUUGCUAUAUAUCAGUUUGUUGCUAUCAAAUUCAAGCUGUUUCUGUUUGUUGCUAGUUGACUGCUACUUUUUUUUUGCUGUUUCUGUUUCUGUUUCCUGCUAUGUAUUCCCAUCUUGAUGUAUUCUCAUAAUCUCAAUUGCAUCUCUUUUCUCAUAA
Rosa rugosa (rugosa rose) is the source of this 778-nucleotide long non-coding RNA. RefSeq lists it as uncharacterized. The record is from RefSeq and is a predicted model, not a curated record. The transcript has 2 exons. Lineage: Eukaryota; Viridiplantae; Streptophyta; Magnoliopsida; Rosales; Rosaceae.